RNAcentral lists this small nuclear RNA (21 nucleotides) under Arabidopsis thaliana (thale cress). RNAcentral describes it as "snRNA_08470". The record is from RNAcentral. Lineage: Eukaryota; Viridiplantae; Streptophyta; Magnoliopsida; Brassicales; Brassicaceae.
UCCAAGAAGAAAUUAAGUACU